UGAGAUGGCUGAAUGUUAAGCGGUGGAUUGUAGCCCCAUAAACAGAGGGCAUUUCUCUUCUUAC
RNAcentral lists this transfer RNA (64 nucleotides) under Aphaniops ginaonis. RNAcentral describes it as "tRNA-Tyr". The record is from RNAcentral. Lineage: Eukaryota; Metazoa; Chordata; Actinopteri; Cyprinodontiformes; Aphaniidae.